AGAGUUUGAUCAUGGCUCAGGACGAACGCUGGCGGCGUGCCUAACACAUGCAAGUCGAGCGGGGACUUCGGUCCUAGCGGCGGACGGGUGAGUAACACGUGGGUAACCUGCCUUGUAGAGGGGGAUAGCCUUCCGAAAGGAAGAUUAAUACCGCAUAACAUUAUGCUUCGCAUGGAGUGAUAAUCAAAGGAGUAAUCCGC
RNAcentral lists this ribosomal RNA (200 nucleotides) under uncultured bacterium. RNAcentral describes it as "partial 16S ribosomal RNA". It matches the Rfam family "Bacterial small subunit ribosomal RNA", at positions 8 to 218 of the family's 1533-position model. The record is from RNAcentral.